AGAUGUGAGGGCGAUCUGGCUGCAACAUCUGUCACUCCAUUGAUCACCAGGGUUGAUUCAGCUGAUCUAGCUGGCUAGGUGGGUGUCCUCUUCCUCCAUCACUGCUCCAUGUGCGUCCUUCUAGAAGCUCCGAGCUCGGUUGAAGAGGACACCUUCCCCAAAUAGAGACAGACUGGUCUUCGGUUGAGGGUAUACAAGUAGCUGCGCUCCCCUGCUAGAACCUCCAAACAAGCUCUCAAGUAAAGAUAGAUAGCAGCAAAAAGUGCUGGAAAGGUUGUGGGGUCAAAGGAACCCUCCUGCACUGCUGGUGGGAAUGUCAGUUGGU
Non-coding RNA from Erinaceus europaeus (western European hedgehog), 325 nucleotides. The record is from Rfam. Lineage: Eukaryota; Metazoa; Chordata; Mammalia; Eulipotyphla; Erinaceidae.